CCUACGGGAGGCAGCAGUGAGGAAUAUUGGUCAAUGGCCGCAAGUCUGAACCAGCCAAGUCGCGUGCGGGAUGACGGUCCUAUGGGUUGUAAACCUCUUUUGUCAGGGAGCAAAGGCCGCCACGUGUGGCGGUUUGCGAGUAUCUUAAGAAAAAGGAUCGGCUAACUCCGUGCCAGCAGCCGCGGUAAUACGGAGGAUGCGAGCGUUAUCCGGAUUUAUUGGGUUUAAAGGGUGCGCAGGCGGAAGGUCAAGUCAGCGGUAAAAUUUCGGGGCUCAACUCCGGCGUGCCGUUGAAACUGGCGGUCUUGAGUGAGGGAGAAGUAUGCGGAAUGCGUGGUGUAGCGGUGAAAUGCAUAGAUAUCACGCAGAACGCCGAUUGCGAAGGCAGCAUACCGGCCUUCAACUGACGCUGAGGCACGAAAGCGUGGGGAGCAAACAGGAUUAGAUACCCUGGUAGUC
Molecule: ribosomal RNA, 459 nt
Filed under: uncultured bacterium
Lineage: Bacteria
Description: partial 16S ribosomal RNA
Rfam family: Bacterial small subunit ribosomal RNA
Source: RNAcentral